AGAGAGAGACAUGCGCGCAUAUCAAUAAGCGGAGGAAAAGAAACUAACUAGGAUUCCCUUAGUAACGGCGAGUGAAGCGGGAAGAGUUCUAAAUUUGAAAUCUUCAAGGUUCUACCUAGACGAAUUGUAGUUUAUAAGAAGUGUUUUCUGUUGGAGUGGCUAAAAGUUCUUUGGAAUAGGACAUCAUAGAGGGUGAGAAUCCCGUAUUUGUACCAUUCUCCUAACUUUGUGAUACACUUUCAACGAGUCGGAUUGUUUGGGAAUGCAGUCCAAAAUGGGUGGUAAACUUCAUCUAAAGCUAAAUACUUGGCGAGAGACCGAUAGCGAACAAGUACCGUGAGCGAAAGAUGAAAAGAACUUUGAAAAGAGAGUUAAACAGUACGUGAAAUUGUCAAAAGGGAAGCGUUUGACACCAGUGUUGUUUUUCCGAAAAUCGAUUACGAAUGUUUUGUUUUUGAGGAGUUAUGACUUCAUCGGCUUGCUCCUUUCUUUAUGAAACUUUCUUAAUGCACUUUUCGGUUAACAAGUCAACAUCAAUUUCUUUUGUUGUAAAAGGGUAUGAGGAAGGUGGCUUUCUUUUCGGAGAAAGUGUUUAUAGCCUUGUGCCUCUGCAAUCGGAGAGAUUGAGGUCUGCAGCGUAGAUCCUUCGGGGUUAGAUACGUUUGUGCUAAGUUAUAGCUUUUCAUAGACAACUUGUUGACUAUGUUUAGUCUUGUAGCUUACUCGCUGACGCUAUUUUACCUACGCUUAGGAUGUUGAUAGUCACAGCGUGUAC
This 775-nucleotide ribosomal RNA is filed under the name uncultured Neocallimastigales. Its description in RNAcentral is "partial large subunit ribosomal RNA". It matches the Rfam family "Eukaryotic large subunit ribosomal RNA", at positions 23 to 644 of the family's 3401-position model. The record is from RNAcentral. Lineage: Eukaryota; Fungi; Neocallimastigomycota; Neocallimastigomycetes; Neocallimastigales.